RNAcentral lists this ribosomal RNA (258 nucleotides) under uncultured bacterium. RNAcentral's name for it is "partial 16S ribosomal RNA". It matches the Rfam family "Bacterial small subunit ribosomal RNA", at positions 96 to 354 of the family's 1533-position model. The record is from RNAcentral.
CGGCGGACGGGUGAGUAACGCGUGGGUAACCUGCCUUAUACAGGGGGAUAACAGUUAGAAAUGACUGCUAAUACCGCAUAAGCGCACGGGAACGCAUGUUUCUGUGUGAAAAACUGAGGUAGUAUAAGAUGGACCCGCGUCUGAUUAGCUAGUUGGUGGGGUAACGGCCUACCAAGGCGACGAUCAGUAGCCGGCCUGAGAGGGUGACCGGCCACAUUGGGACUGAGACACGGCCCAAACUCCUACGGGAGGCAGCAG